AACGAACGUUAGCGGUGUGGAUUAGGCAUGCAAGUCGAGCGCGAAAGUCCGCAAGGAUGAGUAAAGCGGCGAAAGGGUGAGUAACACGUAACCAAUCUACCCACGAGACCGGAAUAACCGGCGGAAACGCUGGCUAAUGCCGGAUGGUCCUGUCGGGAGGCAUCUCCUGACACGUAAACGGUGGCGCAAGCUGCUGCUCGAGGAGGAGGUUGCGGGCUAUCAGCUAGUGGUGGGGUAACGGCCUACCAAGGCGAUGACGGCUAGCUGGUCUGAGAGGACGACCAGCCACACUGGGACUGAGACACUGCCCAGACUCCUACGGGAGGCUGCAGUCGAGGAUCUUCCGCAAUGGGCGAAAGCCUGACGGAGCGACACCGCGUACAGGAUGAAGGCCU
RNAcentral lists this ribosomal RNA (395 nucleotides) under uncultured bacterium. RNAcentral describes it as "bacterial SSU rRNA". It matches the Rfam family "Bacterial small subunit ribosomal RNA", at positions 29 to 417 of the family's 1533-position model. The record is from RNAcentral.